UGCCACGUGUCCCACGUCUCCCAGUGGGAGACGUUGGAUGUCCCCCUGGCCAUUUAAUGAAUUUUGGGUCUUCUUCUUCCUCAUAACACCAAACAGAGAGAGCACACCAAACAGAGAGCACGAAAGGGGUUGCGAUUUUAGGGUUUUCAAGGUUGUGAUUUUGGUGGUGAGAUUUUAGAGAGUACUUUGCAUCAAAACUUCUAUAUCUAUCAAUCACACAUUUGAGAUGGUUAGGUCACUAUUAUAGGGGAAAUGCUGCCCGAUAUUAUUUAGGAUAAUAAACGAUUAGUUGAGAACGGGCAUUACUUGAUUGAACAUGCAAGUCCCAGGCAUUACUUGAGAACGCUAACAAGCACAUCAUAUACAGAGGCACAAAUUGAUGAGUUGCGACAAGAAUGGGCGACAUAUGUGUUGCCGAUAAUCCAAAGUUACCGACCUCGUUGAUAGUUUUUUUUUUAAUUUUUUA
Molecule: long non-coding RNA, 466 nt
Organism: Humulus lupulus (European hop)
Lineage: Eukaryota; Viridiplantae; Streptophyta; Magnoliopsida; Rosales; Cannabaceae
Exons: 4
Source: RefSeq, a predicted model, not a curated record